RNAcentral lists this ribosomal RNA (253 nucleotides) under uncultured bacterium. RNAcentral describes it as "partial 16S ribosomal RNA". It matches the Rfam family "Bacterial small subunit ribosomal RNA", at positions 524 to 776 of the family's 1533-position model. The record is from RNAcentral.
UACAGAGGUCCCAAGCGUUGUUCGGAUUCAUUGGGCGUAAAGGGUGUGUAGGUGGCGCCGUAAGUCGGGUGUGAAAUUUCGGAGCUUAACUCCGAAACUGCAUUCGAUACUGCGGUGCUUGAGGACUGGAGAGGAGACUGGAAUUCAUGGUGUAGCAGUGAAAUGCGUAGAGAUCAUGAGGAAGACCAGUGGCGAAGGCGGGUCUCUGGACAGUUCCUGACACUGAGGCACGAAGGCCAGGGGAGCAAACGGG